AUCCUUUUGUAGUUCGUAAGCAUCAUGAUUGGGUGUUCAUGCUAUUGUGUGACAUGUGCCUCCCUUAAACCUUUUUACGACCAUGGCACAUUACUCAUCUGGCG
Molecule: small nucleolar RNA, 104 nt
Organism: Mustela putorius furo (domestic ferret)
Lineage: Eukaryota; Metazoa; Chordata; Mammalia; Carnivora; Mustelidae
Source: Ensembl